RNAcentral lists this ribosomal RNA (1170 nucleotides) under uncultured Myroides sp. Its description in RNAcentral is "bacterial SSU rRNA". It matches the Rfam family "Bacterial small subunit ribosomal RNA", at positions 1 to 1187 of the family's 1533-position model. The record is from RNAcentral. Lineage: Bacteria; Pseudomonadati; Bacteroidota; Flavobacteriia; Flavobacteriales; Flavobacteriaceae.
GGGGAGUCGUGAUUGUAUAUUAGAGUUUGAUCCUGGCUCAGGAUGAACGCUAGCGGGAGGCUUAACACAUGCAAGCCGAGGGGUAUUCAGUUGCUUGCAACUGAAGAGACCGGCGCACGGGUGAGUAACGCGUAUGUAACUUGCCUCAUUCAACGGGAUAGCCCGGGGAAACCCGGAUUAAUAUCGUAUAACAGCCGGACAGGCAUCUGUUUGGUUUGAAAGAUUCAUCGGAAUGAGAUAGACAUGCGUAUGAUUAGCUUGUUGGCGGGGUAACGGCCCACCAAGGCGAUGAUCAUUAGGGGUCCUGAGAGGGUGAUCCCCCACACUGGUACUGAGACACGGACCAGACUCCUACGGGAGGCAGCAGUGAGGAACAUUGGACAAUGGGUGAGAGCCUGAUCCAGCCAUCCCGCGUGCAGGAAGACGGCCUUAUGGGUUGUAAACUGCUUUUAUACAGGAAUAAACCAUCUUACGAGUAGGGUGUUGAAGGUACUGUAUGAAUAAGCACCGGCUAACUCCGUGCCAGCAGCCGCGGUAAUACGGAGGAUCCGAGCGUUAUCCGGAAUUAUUGGGUUUAAAGGGUUCGUAGGCGGUUGAGUAAGUCAGUGGUGAAAUCUUAUAGCUUAACUAUAAAAUUGCCGUUGAUACUGCUUGACUUGAAUAGUAUGGAAGUAAUUAGAAUAUGUAGUGUAGCGGUGAAAUGCUUAGAUAUUACAUGGAAUACCAAUUGCGAAGGCAGAUUACUACGUACUUAUUGACGCUGAUGAACGAAAGCGUGGGUAGCGAACAGGAUUAGAUACCCUGGUAGUCCACGCCGUAAACGAUGGAUACUAGCUGUUCGGUUUUCGGACUGAGUGGCUAAGCGAAAGUGAUAAGUAUCCCACCUGGGGAGUACGUUCGCAAGAAUGAAACUCAAAGGAAUUGACGGGGGCCCGCACAAGCGGUGGAGCAUGUGGUUUAAUUCGAUGAUACGCGAGGAACCUUACCAGGCUUAAAUGUAGAUUGACAGGUUAGAGAUAGACUUUUCUCGACAUUUACAGUGCUGCAUGUGUCGUCAGCUCGUGCGUGAGUGUCAGUAGUCUAUACGAGCGCACCCUAUUGUAGUGCAGCGAGUAUGUCGGACUCUAACAGACUGCCGGUGCAAACGUGAGGAAGGUGGGGAUAGCGUCA